This 253-nucleotide ribosomal RNA is filed under the name uncultured Coprococcus sp. RNAcentral describes it as "partial 16S ribosomal RNA". It matches the Rfam family "Bacterial small subunit ribosomal RNA", at positions 524 to 776 of the family's 1533-position model. The record is from RNAcentral. Lineage: Bacteria; Bacillati; Bacillota; Clostridia; Lachnospirales; Lachnospiraceae.
UACGUAGGGGGCAAGCGUUAUCCGGAUUUACUGGGUGUAAAGGGAGCGUAGGCGGUUCAGCAAGUCAGAAGUGAAAGCCCGGGGCUCAACUCCGGGACUGCUUUUGAAACUGUUGAACUAGAUUGCAGGAGAGGUAAGUGGAAUUCCUAGUGUAGCGGUGAAAUGCGUAGAGAUUAGGAAGAACACCAGUGGCGAAGGCGACUUACUGGACUGUAACUGACGCUGAGGCAUGAGAGCAUGGGGAGCAAACAGG